Molecule: ribosomal RNA, 458 nt
Filed under: Staphylococcus aureus
Lineage: Bacteria; Bacillati; Bacillota; Bacilli; Caryophanales; Staphylococcaceae
Description: partial 23S ribosomal RNA
Rfam family: Bacterial large subunit ribosomal RNA
Source: RNAcentral
CACUGCCGAGAAAAGCCUCUAGAUAGAAAAUAGGUGCCCGUACCGCAAACCGACACAGGUAGUCAAGAUGAGAAUUCUAAGGUGAGCGAGCGAACUCUCGUUAAGGAACUCGGCAAAAUGACCCCGUAACUUCGGGAGAAGGGGUGCUCUUUAGGGUUAACGCCCAGAAGAGCCGCAGUGAAUAGGCCCAAGCGACUGUUUAUCAAAAACACAGGUCUCUGCUAAACCGUAAGGUGAUGUAUAGGGGCUGACGCCUGCCCGGUGCUGGAAGGUUAAGAGGAGUGGUUAGCUUCUGCGAAGCUACGAAUCGAAGCCCCAGUAAACGGCGGCCGUAACUAUAACGGUCCUAAGGUAGCGAAAUUCCUUGUCGGGUAAGUUCCGACCCGCACGAAAGGCGUAACGAUUUGGGCACUGUCUCAACGAGAGACUCGGUGAAAUCAUAGUACCUGUGAAGAUGC